GAUGAACGCUGGCGGCGUGCCUAAUACAUGCAAGUCGAGCGAACAGAUAAGGAGCUUGCUCCUUUGCAGUUAGCGGCGGACGGGUGAGUAACACGUGGGUAACCUACCUAUAAGACUGGGAUAACUUCGGGAAACCGGAGCUAAUACCGGAUAACAUUUAGAACCGCAUGGUUCUAAAGUGAAAGAUGGUUUUGCUAUCACUUAUAGAUGGACCCGCGCCGUAUUAGCUAGUUGGUAAGGUAACGGCUUACCAAGGCGACGAUACGUAGCCGACCUGAGAGGGUGAUCGGCCACACCGGAACUGAGACACGGUCCAGACUCCUACGGGAGGCAGCAGUAGGGAAUCUUCGGCAAUGGGCGAAAGCCUGACGGAGCAACGCCGCGUGAGUGAUGAAGGGUUUCGGCUCGUAAAACUCUGUUAUUAGGGAAGAACAAAUGUGUAAGUAACUGUGCACAUCUUGACGGUACCUAAUCAGAAAGCCACGGCUAACUACGUG
This 497-nucleotide ribosomal RNA is filed under the name uncultured bacterium. RNAcentral's name for it is "partial 16S ribosomal RNA". It matches the Rfam family "Bacterial small subunit ribosomal RNA", at positions 28 to 507 of the family's 1533-position model. The record is from RNAcentral.